GACGAACGCUGGCGGCGUGCUUAACACAUGCAAGUCGAACGAAGAGCGAUGGAAGCUUGCUUCUAUCAAUCUUAGUGGCGAACGGGUGAGUAACGCGUAAUCAACCUGCCCUUCAGAGGGGGACAACAGUUGGAAACGACUGCUAAUACCGCAUACGAUCUAAUCUCGGCAUCGAGGAUAGAUGAAAGGUGGCCUCUACAUGUAAGCUAUCACUGAAGGAGGGGAUUGCGUCUGAUUAGCUAGUUGGAGGGGUAACGGCCCACCAAGGCGAUGAUCAGUAGCCGGUCUGAGAGGAUGAACGGCCACAUUGGGACUGAGACACGGCCCAGACUCCUACGGGAGGCAGCAGUGGGGAAUCUUCCGCAAUGGACGAAAGUCUGACGGAGCAACGCCGCGUGAGUGAUGACGGCCUUCGGGUUGUAAAGCUCUGUUAAUCGGGACGAAAGGCCUUCUUGCGAAUAGUGAGAAGGAUUGACGGUACCGGAAUAGAAAGCCACGGCUAAUACGUC
This 509-nucleotide ribosomal RNA is filed under the name Veillonella parvula. Its description in RNAcentral is "bacterial SSU rRNA". It matches the Rfam family "Bacterial small subunit ribosomal RNA", at positions 28 to 507 of the family's 1533-position model. The record is from RNAcentral. Lineage: Bacteria; Bacillati; Bacillota; Negativicutes; Veillonellales; Veillonellaceae.